Molecule: ribosomal RNA, 912 nt
Filed under: uncultured crenarchaeote
Lineage: Archaea; Thermoproteati; Thermoproteota
Description: bacterial SSU rRNA
Rfam family: Archaeal small subunit ribosomal RNA
Source: RNAcentral
UUCCGGUUGAUCCUGCCGGACCCGACUGCUAUCAGAGUGGGACUAAGCCAUGCGAGUCAACGCAGCAAUGCGUGGCAUACGGCUCAGUAACACGUAGUCAACAUGCCCAGGGGACGUGGAUAACCUCGGGAAACUGAGGAUAAACCGCGAUAGGCCAAGGUUUCUGGAAUGAACCAUGGCUGAAACCUACAUGGCCCCUGGAUUGGACUGCGGCCGAUCAGGCUGUUGGUGAGGUAAUGGCCCACCAAACCUGUAACCGGUACGGGCUCUGAGAGGAGGAGCCCGGAGAUGGGCACUGAGACAAGGGCCCAGGCCCUAUGGGGCGCAGCAGGCGCGAAACCUCUGCAAUAGGCGAAAGCUUGACAGGGUUACUCUGAGUGAUGUCCGUUAAGGGCAUCUUUUGGCACUUCUAAAAAUAGUGCAGAAUAAGGGGUGGGCAAGUCUGGUGUCAGCCGCCGCGGUAAUACCAGCACCCCGAGUGGUCGGGACGAUUAUUGGGCCUAAAGCAUCCGUAGCCGGUUCUGCAAGUCUUCCGUUAAAUCCACCUGCUCAACAGAUGGGCUGCGGAGGAUACUACAGGGCUAGGAGGCGGGAGAGGCAAGCGGUACUCAGUGGGUAGGGGUAAAAUCCUCUGAUCCGCUGAAGACCACCAGUGGCGAAGGCGGCUUGCCAGAACGCGCUCGACGGUGAGGGAUGAAAGCUGGGGGAGCAAACCGGAUUAGAUACCCGGGUAGUCCCAGCUGUAAACGAUGCAGACUCGGUGAUGGGUUGGCUUUGCGCCAACCCAGUGCCGCAGGGAAGCCGUUAAGUCUGCCGCCUGGGGAGUACGGUCGCAAGACUGAAACUUAAAGGAAUUGGCGGGGGAGCACCACAAGGGGUGAAGCCUGCGGUUCAAUUGGAGUCAACGCCGGA